Molecule: ribosomal RNA, 497 nt
Filed under: uncultured bacterium
Lineage: Bacteria
Description: partial 16S ribosomal RNA
Rfam family: Bacterial small subunit ribosomal RNA
Source: RNAcentral
GAUGAACGCUGGCGGCGUGCCUAAUACAUGCGAGUCGAGCGAACGGAUGAGAAGCUUGCUUCUCUGAUGUUAGCGGCGGACGGGUGAGUAACACGUGGAUAACCUACCUAUAAGACUGGGAUAACUUCGGGAAACCGGAGCUAAUACCGGAUAAUAUUUUGAACCGCAUGGUUCAAAAGUGAAAGACGGUCUUGCUGUCACUUAUAGAUGGAUCCGCGCUGCAUUAGCUAGUUGGUAAGGUAACGGCUUACCAAGGCAACGAUGCAUAGCCGACCUGAGAGGGUGAUCGGCCACACUGGAACUGAGACACGGUCCAGACUCCUACGGGAGGCAGCAGUAGGGAAUCUUCCGCAAUGGGCGAAAGCCUGACGGAGCAACGCCGCGUGAGUGAUGAAGGUCUUCGGAUCGUAAAACUCUGUUAUUAGGGAAGAACAUAUGUGUAAGUAACUGUGCACAUCUUGACGGUACCUAAUCAGAAAGCCACGGCUAACUACGUG